Molecule: ribosomal RNA, 506 nt
Filed under: uncultured bacterium
Lineage: Bacteria
Description: partial 16S ribosomal RNA
Rfam family: Bacterial small subunit ribosomal RNA
Source: RNAcentral
GAUGAACGCUAGCUACAGGCUUAACACAUGCAAGUCGAGGGGUAACGAGAGGAAAGCUUGCUUUCCUUGUCGACGACCGGCGCACGGGUGAGUAACGCGUAUCCAACCUGCCCCCAACUAGGGAAUAACCUUGCGAAAGUAAGACUAAUACCCUAUAAUUUCCUCAGAUGACAUCAGAUUAGGAAUAAAGAUUUAUCGGUUAUAGAUGGGGAUGCGUCUGAUUAGCUUGUUGGCGGGGUAACGGCCCACCAAGGCAACGAUCAGUAGGGGUUCUGAGAGGAAGGUCCCCCACAUUGGAACUGAGACACGGUCCAAACUCCUACGGGAGGCAGCAGUGAGGAAUAUUGGUCAAUGGGCGAAAGCCUGAACCAGCCAAGUAGCGUGCAGGAUGACGGCCCUAUGGGUUGUAAACUGCUUUUAUACAGGAAUAAAGUUAGCCACGUGUGGUUAUUUGUAGGUACUGUAUGAAUAAGGACCGGCUAAUUCCGUGCCAGCAGCCGCGGUAA